Molecule: ribosomal RNA, 440 nt
Filed under: uncultured bacterium
Lineage: Bacteria
Description: partial 16S ribosomal RNA
Rfam family: Bacterial small subunit ribosomal RNA
Source: RNAcentral
CCUACGGGCGGCUGCAGUGGGGAAUAUUGCACAAUGGGGGAAACCCUGAUGCAGCGACGCCGCGUGAGUGAAGAAGUAUUUCGGUAUGUAAAGCUCUAUCAGCAGGGAAGAAAAUGACGGUACCUGACUCAGAAGCCCCGGCUAACUACGUGCCAGCAGCCGCGGUAAUACGUAGGGGGCAAGCGUUAUCCGGAUUUACUGGGUGUAAGGGGAGCGUAGACGGCCCGACAAGUCAGUAGUGAAAGCCCAGGGCUCAACCCUGGGAGUGCUUUUGAAACUGCCGGGCUGGAGUGCAGGAGAGGUAAGCGGAAUUCCUAGUGUAGCGGUGAAAUGCGUAGAUAUUAGGAGGAACACCAGUGGCGAAGGCGGCUUACUGGACUGUAACUGACGUUGAGGCUCGAAAGCGUGGGGAGCGAACAGGAUUAGAUACCCCUGUAGUC